AAACUGGUUUGUAUGUGUUAGUUCAAUCGAAAGCACCAAAAAGGAAAUGAAUAUCAUGCUUCUUGAUCAUAGUUUUAGAUAGUUUUUCUUGUGACAAUUUCUUAGCUUCUUAUAAAGGGGACAUGGAAGAGCAUAAAAGAAAGAGGAAUGAGUGUUCAUAAAUCUGGUGAAGGGGUAAACAUUUUUCUGGUUAGAAAAAAAGACAUUUCUGUAUUAUGAACGGCGGAACACUGAAAGAUAAAUGAUGGUUUGAUUUCUCUUCACUGAUUUAAAAGUUGUGAUUACAUGAGCUGCUGACUGUUGUAUAAUUUGG
This 313-nucleotide long non-coding RNA is filed under the name Gossypium barbadense (sea-island cotton). RNAcentral describes it as "long non-coding RNA (GBAR_LNC005906)". The record is from RNAcentral. Lineage: Eukaryota; Viridiplantae; Streptophyta; Magnoliopsida; Malvales; Malvaceae.